GGGGUAUAGGAUUUAAUAUAAUUUUCAAAUAUAUUGACCAUGUCAGAAUCGUAAGAUAGCAGCAUACAAUAAAACUUUGAAAUUAGUAUUAGACCUAUAUCU
Molecule: unclassified non-coding RNA, 102 nt
Filed under: Nitzschia anatoliensis
Lineage: Eukaryota; Bacillariophyta; Bacillariophyceae; Bacillariales; Bacillariaceae
Description: Nitzschia sp. RGa-2021a signal recognition particle RNA
Source: RNAcentral